AUUGUUUAAAUUUUUAAAUUAAAUAGGCAUUCUCCUUUUCCCCAUAAAACAAUUUCCUGUUCAGAUCUUUUUUAUGAAAAAUUGAAAAUAGUGGCAACAACGUGAACUAUGAUUCUUUGCCGUGAUAGGAAAGUUGUCGUUUAGCGGCCAUUACAAUGACAUCAUAUAUUUCUAAGUCACCGUUCACGGAAUACAUAUCAAAAAUACUUCCUUAUCCUUAUUCUGAUAAUUAAUAAAAAAAUUCGAUUAAAUAGCCGAACUAUAAAUACAUAAUAGAAAAACUGGCAACUACGCCUUUUCUUUUAUGUGAACGAGCCUACUAGUAGUUAAGUUGCCAGGUGUAUAUUCAAUAUUGUAGCUGUGACGCUGAAUGAAUAAAGUCACUUGAUAUAAAAAAGAAGAUUGUUGACAGUUCAUGAUAUUGAAAGUGUGAAUAUUGUGUAAUUGCAUGAAUCUGGCUUUGAAUGAGUGAAUAAAGUACAAAAAAAACAUUAUGCUGAUUGUCCCCCCACCACGGCGAUCUGGGGUAAAUCGAGACUUAAGUUCACACCCAGUACAGUAAAAGCAUCUUGUAACUUAUUCACGAUCGGUAUUAAAUGUUCCAUACCGGCGUUACCCGCCAUAUUGUGUCUUUAGAAGAAAAAAAUCACCAACUAAUUCACGGUAAAACAUAAAUUAUAAACAAUUCAAUAAUCGUCGAACGUUCUGUGAUGGCUACCGAGUCGCGAAUGAAUCAUACACGAUGGGACUAUAGUUUUAAGCACUUUUAAGAUAACCACACCAUGAUCUGCUUUUAGCUUAUAAUAAACAAGAUUCGUUAA
This is a long non-coding RNA of Diorhabda sublineata, 821 nucleotides long. RefSeq lists it as uncharacterized. Lineage: Eukaryota; Metazoa; Arthropoda; Insecta; Coleoptera; Chrysomelidae. The record is from RefSeq and is a predicted model, not a curated record. The transcript has 2 exons.